GAUGAACGCUGGCGGCGUGCCUAAUACAUGCAAGUCGAGCGAACAGACGAGGAGCUUGCUCCUCUGACGUUAGCGGCGGACGGGUGAGUAACACGUGGAUAACCUACCUAUCAGACUGGGAUAACUUCGGGAAACCGGAGCUAAUACCGGAUAAUAUAUUGAACCGCAUGGUUCAAUAGUGAAAGACGGUUUUGCGGUCACUUAUAGAUGGAUCCGCGCCGCAUUAGCUAGUUGGUAAGGUAACGGCUUACCACGGCAACGAGGCGUAGCCGACCUGAGAGAGUGAUCGCCCACAUGGGAACGUAGACACGGUCCAGACUCCUACGGGAGGCAGCAGUAGGGAAUCUUCCGCAAUGGGCGAAAGCCUGACGGAGCAACGCCGCGUGAGUGAUGAAGGUCUUCGGAGCGUAAAACUCUGUUAUGAGUGAAGAACAAAUGUGUAAGUAACUAUGCACGUCUUGACGGUACCUAAUCAGAAAGCCACGGCUAACUACGUG
RNAcentral lists this ribosomal RNA (497 nucleotides) under uncultured bacterium. RNAcentral describes it as "partial 16S ribosomal RNA". It matches the Rfam family "Bacterial small subunit ribosomal RNA", at positions 28 to 507 of the family's 1533-position model. The record is from RNAcentral.